AACUUGCACAAAUUCAAAUAUUAAAAGUAACCGAAUAACUUAUUUGAUGUUAAUACGGUCCUGACUUUUUAUGUAUUUUGCGAUCGUUUGAUUGUAAAAGGACAACGUGACCUCAGAAACGAGGCCUUUCCAGCGGACGACGCUCAUGAAUUUUUUUUUAGCAGCCGUCAUUAAGAUUUCAAAAGUUUCGCGGUCCACAGACGGAUAGCUAAUCGUGAACGCGUUCAUUAUUUCGGUGUCAUAUCUCUCGACAUUCCCAACCGUUUAACUUUUUCCAAUUGAGCACGUGGUACGCGCGUUUUUGCGACGAUUUGUAAUGUUUGUCACAAAUCGAAAAAAUAAAGUAAAUUUUAUGAAAAAAUUAUCAAUCGAAUGUUGGAAAAUAUUAUACACUAUCACGGUCACUAUAACCAAAAACGCAGUACGGGUUUUAAUCGACAGAUUUACGUUAUCGAAAUAUUCGCAAACAAUAAAAAAAAAUACAAAUGAAAUAUGAAAACACGCAUCACCGCCAUGGCCGAUGAAGAUCUCGCGUUCGGUGGAAAAAAACUCCCCGACCUUUGGCUGAGCACAGG
Cinara cedri is the source of this 575-nucleotide non-coding RNA. The record is from the annotation of a GenBank genome assembly. NCBI's taxonomy places the organism in Eukaryota, Metazoa, Arthropoda, Insecta, Hemiptera, Aphididae.